UACGAAGGAUCCAAGCGUUAUCCGGAUUUAUUGGGUUUAAAGGGUGCGUAGGCGGACUAUUAAGUCAGUGGUGAAAGCCUGCAGCUUAACUGCAGAACUGCCAUUGAUACUGAUGGUCUUGAGUACAAUUGAGGUGGGCGGAAUGUGUCGUGUAGUGGUGAAAUACUUAGAUAUGACACAGAACUCCGAUUGCGAAGGCAGCUCACUAAACUGUAACCGACGCUGAGGCACGAAAGCGUGGGGAUCAAACAGG
This 253-nucleotide ribosomal RNA is filed under the name uncultured bacterium. RNAcentral's name for it is "partial 16S ribosomal RNA". It matches the Rfam family "Bacterial small subunit ribosomal RNA", at positions 524 to 776 of the family's 1533-position model. The record is from RNAcentral.